Ictidomys tridecemlineatus (thirteen-lined ground squirrel) is the source of this 71-nucleotide non-coding RNA. The record is from Ensembl. Lineage: Eukaryota; Metazoa; Chordata; Mammalia; Rodentia; Sciuridae.
GUUAAUGUAGCUUAACUCAAUAAAGCAAAGCACUGAAAAUGCUUAGAUGGGUAUUUUGUACCCCAUAAACA